Molecule: ribosomal RNA, 319 nt
Filed under: uncultured bacterium
Lineage: Bacteria
Description: bacterial SSU rRNA
Rfam family: Bacterial small subunit ribosomal RNA
Source: RNAcentral
UGACGGUACCCACAGAAGAAGCUCCGGCUAACUACGUGCCAGCAGCCGCGGUAAUACGUAGGGAGCAAGCGUUAUCCGGAUUCAUUGGGCGUAAAGCGCGCGUAGGCGGCUUGUUAAGCAAGAUUUUAAAUCUGGGGGCUCAACCUUCAGCCGGAUCUUGAACUGGCAGGCUCGAGUUUGGUAGAGGAAAGUGGAAUUCCCAGUGUAGCGGUGAAAUGCGCAGAUAUUGGGAAGAACACCAAUGGCGAAGGCAGCUUUCUGGGCCAUAACUGACGCUGAGGUGCGAAAGCUAGGGGAGCGAACAGGAUUAGAUACCCUG